GCACAACGCGAAGAACCUUACCUGGGCUUGACAUGCACUGUGUCAUCGGUGAAAGCCGGUUAGUGUAGCAAUACACGCUUUGCACAGGUGCUGCAUGGCCGUCGUCAGCUCGUGUCGUGAGAUGUUGGGUUAAGUCCCGCAACGAGCGCAACCCCUGUGAUUUGUUGCCACCGGAGCAAUCCGAGCACUCGAAUCAGACUGCCCACGAUCAACUGGGAGGAAGGUGGGGAGUGACGUCAAGUCAGUAUGGCCCUUACGCCCAGGGCUGCACACGUACUACAAUGCCCAGUACAAUGUGAACCGAGACCGCGAGGUGGAGGAAAUCGCUUAAAACUGGGCUCAGUUCAGAUUGCAGGCUGCAACUCGCCUGCAUGAAGUUGGAAUCGCUAGUAAUGGCGCAUCAGCUACGGCGCCGUGAAUACGUUCCCGGGGUCUUGUACACACCGGAGUCGGUGGGA
RNAcentral lists this ribosomal RNA (458 nucleotides) under uncultured bacterium. Its description in RNAcentral is "bacterial SSU rRNA". It matches the Rfam family "Bacterial small subunit ribosomal RNA", at positions 954 to 1409 of the family's 1533-position model. The record is from RNAcentral.